AUACGAACGGGGCUAGCGUUGUUCGGAAUUACUGGGCGUAAAGCGCGCGUAGGCGGAUUGGUCAGUUAGGGGUGAAAUCCCAGGGCUUAACCCUGGAACUGCCUCUAAUACUGCCAGUCUUGAGUUCGGGAGAGGUGAGUGGAAUUCCUAGUGUAGAGGUGAAAUUCGUAGAUAUUAGGAAGAACACCAGUGGCGAAGGCGGCUCACUGGCCCGAUACUGACGCUGAGGCGCGAAAGCGUGGGGAGCAAACAGGAUUAGAAACCCUAGUAGUCC
Molecule: ribosomal RNA, 274 nt
Filed under: uncultured bacterium
Lineage: Bacteria
Description: partial 16S ribosomal RNA
Rfam family: Bacterial small subunit ribosomal RNA
Source: RNAcentral